RNAcentral lists this ribosomal RNA (499 nucleotides) under uncultured bacterium. Its description in RNAcentral is "partial 16S ribosomal RNA". It matches the Rfam family "Bacterial small subunit ribosomal RNA", at positions 29 to 507 of the family's 1533-position model. The record is from RNAcentral.
ACGCACGCUGGCGGCGUGCUUAACCCAUGCCAGUCGAACGGGUCUGCCCUGUUUUUUGCGGGGUGGGUCAGUGGCGAACGGGUGAGUAACACGUGAGUAACCUGCCCCUCACUUCUGGAUAACCGCUUGAAAGGGUGGCUAAUACGGGGUGUUCUGGCUGUGCCGCAUGGUGUGGCUGGGAAAGAUUCACUUUUGUGGUGUUUUGGUGGGGGAUGGGCUCGCGGCCUAUCAGCUUGUUGGUGGGGUGAUGGCCUGCCAAGGCUUUGACGGGUAGCCGGCCUGAGAGGGUGGGCGGUCACACUGGGACUGAGAUACGGCCCAGACUCCUGCGGGAGGCAGCAGUGGGGGGUAUUGCACAAUGGGCGGAAGCCUGAUGCAGCGACGUCGCGUGAGGGAUGGAGGCCUUCGGGUUGUGAACCUCUUUCGCCGGUGAAGAAGGUCCUGCUCUUUGUGGUGGGGUUGACGGUAGCCGGGUUAUGAAGCGCCGGCUAACUACGUG